This 608-nucleotide ribosomal RNA is filed under the name uncultured bacterium. RNAcentral describes it as "bacterial SSU rRNA". The stretch from base 1 to 522 matches the Rfam family "Bacterial small subunit ribosomal RNA", at positions 338 to 873 of the family's 1533-position model. The record is from RNAcentral.
CCUACGGGAGGCAGCAGUGGGGAAUCUUGUGCAAUGGACGAAAGUCUGACACAGCCACGCCGCGUGCGGGAAGAAGGCCUUCGGGUUGUAAACCGCUUUCAGCAGGAACGAAAAUGACGGUACCUGCAGAAGAAGAUGCGGCCAACUACGUGCCAGCAGCCGCGGUGAUACGUAGGCAUCAAGCGUUGUCCGGAUUUAUUGGGCGUAAAGAGCUCGUAGGCGGUUCAGCAAGUCGGGUGUGAAAACUCUGGGCUUAACCCAGAGCCUGCACUCGAAACUGCUGUGACUAGAGUUCUGUAGGGGAGCAGGGAAUUCCUAGUGUAGCGGUGAAAUGCGCAGAUAUUAGGAGGAACACCAAUGGCGAAGGCACUGCUCUGGGCCGAUACUGACGCUGAGGAGCGAGAGCGUGGGUAGCAAACAGGAUUAGAUACCCUGGUAGCCCACGCCGUAAACGAUGGGCACUAGGUGUGGGUCUCUAACCAACGAGAUCUGCGCCGUCGCUAACGCAUUAAGUGCCCCGCCUGGGGNGGUAACGGUCGCGAGACGUAAACGUUACGAAAGAAGUUAGAGGCGNGAGACGNGCCGACGGACGACGACGAGGGAGGAGG